Molecule: small RNA, 154 nt
Filed under: Anaerobium acetethylicum
Lineage: Bacteria; Bacillati; Bacillota; Clostridia; Lachnospirales; Lachnospiraceae
Description: Clostridiales-1 RNA
Rfam family: Clostridiales-1 RNA
Source: Rfam by way of RNAcentral
UGAUACCAGGGCCCCAAGGUCAUGUGCUUCAUGCCUGCAUGAAAACACAUGACUUUAGGACCCGCAAAACAUUCGAAAGCAGCCCGAACAUGGUUGCUUUCGAAUGUUUUUAGGAUUGUGGGAGCACAAAGUGCGGAACAAUCCGUAGGUAUCA